This 3566-nucleotide unclassified non-coding RNA is filed under the name Hevea brasiliensis (rubber tree). Lineage: Eukaryota; Viridiplantae; Streptophyta; Magnoliopsida; Malpighiales; Euphorbiaceae. The record is from RNAcentral.
CGACUCCUUUCUCCAACAUUUCCUGAAACAGCUGGAUAGCUUCAAUCUCAUGCCCAUGAUGAGCAUAACCACCUAUCAUGACAUUGUAAAGGAUAAAAUCUCUUUCGCUAACUUUUUGGAAAAUAUUUUCUGCAUAUCAUACUCCCACAUUUUGAAUACAUGUCAAUGAUAGCAGUGGUCAUUUAAUUAUCCAUUGCAAUCCCCGUUCUGAAAACAUUACCAUGAGUUUUCUUCCCCGGACUAAAUGCAGCUUGCAAUGCACAGGCCCAAAGCAAGCUCACAAGGAUCAAAGCAUCGGGAACUAUUAAUUCCUUAGCCCUAAACUCAUUAGAAAGUUCGAAAACAGAUUCACAUUGCUGUAAUUUGACAUACCCAAUAAACAAAGCUGUCCAAACAAUAGCAUUCUUCUCUAUCAAGUAAUUUUACCAUUACGCUAAAGCCACCCUCUAACCAAAUGGCCAAAACCAAUAAAAAUAACAAUUAACACCAAAGCAUCAGCCGUCACAAGAAGUAAUACAAGUAUAGGAUAAGAAUGUUCCAACACUCAUUUUGAGGUAACCAUUACAUAUAACCCAUCAUAGUACUCCAUGCUGAGAAAGUAUUAGAACUUACGCCUAAGUAUAUUUCUGAAUUAGUUGCAAGAUUGGAGAAUCAUUGCCACCAUAAAAGGAAUCUUUUCAUUCUCUUGUCUUCAGAAUUUAGGUUGAAGGCUUGAUUUCCCCUGAAAAAGUCAGACAUGAACCUCCCAAGGAAAUUGGUAUGUCUAAUCAAGCACCCUUGCUGCUUCUUGAGGUUAGGAAAACCAUGAUACCAUCUGAGAAGCUCCAAGUUCUGCUUGAUUACAACAAUAUGACUAGUUCAACAUUUCAAGGUUGUAUUUUUACAGCAUGGAUUGAUGGAACAAAACUUUGGCAGCAGAAUACACCAGCCCUGCAUCAUCUGCAAUAGAGGCCAAACUAAAUGAUGAAGGCACAUUGGUCUCUGCCUCAACAGUAUGUUUGGCAACUGCCAUACCAACUGCCACACUCUGCAUAAUAUCUAAGCCUUCACAAAGGGAAGCAAGUGUCCCACCAACCAAGCAGUCACCAGCCCCUGUAAGCCUCACAACUGAGGCUGGAAGGGCAGGAAAAUGCACAGCAAAAAGAUGAGAACUCCCCUGACCCUGCAUAGCACCAAAAAAUUUAUUUGAUGGACAGCUUGAUGCUACAAUAUCAUACAACCAUCCAUUAAAUCCAUAUCUUUUGGUUCUUUCCAAACUACUUCUCAUGAAGUUUGGCUCCUUAGAGCAUAAGAACACUCCAUCUGCACCAAGAGUCACAACAACUAUCUUAAUACCCUUUUCUAGCAAAACCAAGAUGGCAGGCUUUAACAUUUGGAAUAAGGACUCUGUUGAGCACUUUCUGCAAUUAUCUUUUUCAACUGGAUGAAAAGUAUUUCCACAAGACAAAGCAUUUGCCAUGGCAAUAAGCUCAUCUUCAUUGGGCGAUGCAAAAGUUACGUUGUUGACAAUUGAGGUGAUUCUCAUGGAUUUUGCAACUGAAACAGGCUCAAACCAAACUGGGAUGUUAUAUUCUGCUGCCACUGAGAAAAAAACAGUUUACUGGAAAAGGGGGGAAAAUGACGAAUGUGGGAGAGGGGAAAUUAGGAGUGGCAUCAAGUUCAUAAACAACUAUAUCACGUAUACAUGCAAAAGAGAGUACAGUGGUAUGUUAUAAGUACCUUGACAAGAAGCUUCUAAAGCUGGGGGUGUCAGAUUUGCAUCAACCAGCAGUACAGAAGCAGAAGAAAUAUUACACUUAGAUUGCAGAAUCCACUCGGGGGUGAGGAAUUUUUCAACUGCUUCCACAUUUGCAACUGCAGCCAUCAACUCUCCACUGGUGUCAAAAAUGUUGCAUAUGACAGCAGUUCUGAUAUUUUGGUGUUUUCGGAUGCCUAUUCCAUCAAUACAUUGACGCUUAAUUUGAUUGCCAAGAAAACAAUAAAAAAUAAAAAUAAAAACUUCCAAGUAAAGGACCACAUUUCCUCUCCAAAUGCUAUAAAUGCCCCUGAUUCAAAACUUUAAUCCAAGUAAGUACGAAUAGAAAGAGGCUUUUCCUCUCCCUAAAAACAUAAAAAUAGUAAAGGUUAUCUACUUGAGUUCACUCUGUUUUCCUAUACAAAAACUUCUAACCAAACCAGAUAUAAUCCAGGAAAUACCAACAAUUAUGUAAAGAACAUUCCACAACUUCCAACUCAUGCCACAAUCUAAAAGCUGGAAAUUAACCAAUUUUGUAUUAUGUUCCAAAUUUAACCAAUUUUGUAUUAUAUUCCAAAUAAUCUAUUCACCAAGCUGAUCCUCAUCUAUGUUUUGGAAAUUGCUGCAUGUUAAAAUCCUCUGAAUCCACCUCCCAAGGAAAAGAAUUCUCCAAAAGAGAGAGAAAAAAAGAAAAGGUUAAGGUUUUAAAUGCUGUUUUGAGAUUUUUCAGCACUUUCAGUUACCCAACUCAUACAUACCAUUCUACCUAAUUAUUUAAAUCCAAAUCAUUUUGAGGCGGACUCCAUAUUCCUCAGUGUGCCAAUAUCACCAGCAAUUUCCGUAAGAAAUAUGCCCUAGGCAUCAACCAUGGUUUAAGAAACAAGACAUUGAUCUAAUACUAAAUAAAUCCAAUUGGUUAGUCAGGGAUUCCAAUGGCAAGAAAACAGGUUCAUCCCAGCAGGUUAUUCAUAUAUCAAAUGUAAUUGUUAGAUUACUAUGGUCUUUUAAAGUGGCAAGCCAAGUAAGAUUUGGAAUUAAAACCUAUAGGGCUACUGUAUGUGCAUGAGGAACAGAGAUAAAAUACAUUUGCUGUGAACAAGCUAUAGUCACCCCAGAUUAUUUAGUUUCUGAACAUAAAAGUUUAACCUUCUGUGGAUAGCCCAGCAGAAUUCCAGUACUCCAACAGCAUGCUCCCAGCGAUAUCAAUGCCCACAGCACUAAUCAUGUAAGACUUAGUUCCAAGCUUUGACAUGCACUCGGCAAUAUUCCUGGCUACACCUCCCAGUGCAUAUUGGACCUUACCGGGAGUGGUGGUUCUAGGACUCGGAUGGAUGGAUGGAGUGGCAUGAAUAUCCAAUAUCAUGCCCCCUAUAACUACUGGGUGUGCCUCCUCUUGCCUCGUUUGCCCACCUUUUAAUAAAACCGUGUAAAAAGCAAGACUGUUAACUUCAGGUGGCAGCAAAAGGUGACGAGAAACACAAUCCAGUCUCCUCUGCACACUGCUCUCCAUUUUCUGAAUCCAAUUCCAAUCUCCCCAAAAGACCCAGUACGUGAAAACUGAAAUGGGUACAUAAUAUUAAGAACAGUGAGAAAAGAAAGGAAAACGAUUUUCCAUUGAUUGUUUUUUUAUUGAUUCUGUUUAUCGGUUAUUUAUCUUUUCCAUAAUUGAUUUUGAUUAAACUCAAAUUUAUCAAUUUUUAGAUCCCACUGAAGAUUCUCUUUUUCUACUUUUGAAGCGCUAGUUUAUGAAAAUUAGCCAAGAAAGCCGAAAAUUUAAUUAAAAUAAAAAGAAAUUUAAUUGUAAUGAGAAAAAAACAUCUGGUUUGUAUCG